AGGUGGCCGAGUGGCUUAAGGCGCUCGCCUGGAACGCGGGUAUAGGGGAAACUCUAUCGUGGGUUCGAAUCCCACCCUCACCGCCA
This 86-nucleotide transfer RNA is filed under the name Alphaproteobacteria bacterium. RNAcentral's name for it is "tRNA-Ser". It matches the Rfam family "tRNA". Rfam says of the family: Transfer RNA (tRNA) molecules are approximately 80 nucleotides in length. Their secondary structure includes four short double-helical elements and three loops (D, anti-codon, and T loops). Further hydrogen bonds mediate the characteristic L-shaped molecular structure. tRNAs have two regions of fundamental functional importance: the anti-codon, which is responsible for specific mRNA codon recognition, and the 3' end, to which the tRNAs corresponding amino acid is attached (by aminoacyl-tRNA synthetases). tRNAs cope with the degeneracy of the genetic code in two manners: having more than one tRNA (with a specific anti-codon) for a particular amino acid; and 'wobble' base-pairing, i.e. permitting non-standard base-pairing at the 3rd anti-codon position. The record is from RNAcentral. Lineage: Bacteria; Pseudomonadati; Pseudomonadota; Alphaproteobacteria.